RNAcentral lists this unclassified non-coding RNA (612 nucleotides) under Zea mays. Its description in RNAcentral is "misc RNA Zm00001eb227250". Lineage: Eukaryota; Viridiplantae; Streptophyta; Magnoliopsida; Poales; Poaceae. The record is from RNAcentral.
UUGCUACCGCCGCCCGCAAAUUCUGUCUCCCCUCCCCUUGCCGCCGCCGAAGGGGUCUGCCGGAGGCCGGCUCAGCCCCUAGGAUGGCGGUGGCGGGGUGUAUCGCGCGGAUCUGGUGGGAGAUGGCGCGGCACAUUGGCGGUGGAGCACGCGGUGGCACGGUACCUAUGGGUGGUCGUAGCCGUGCUGGGGCACGCCGUGGCGCGCGCCGCAGUGCUCGUCGGGCGGCGACUGAGGCCCAGGCGGCCAUGCGUGGCGGGGUGUCGCUGUCAGGGCGUCGUGGCCUGCCUCCGUGCCUCGCUCGAGGAUCUGCUCCGGUCGUCGCCGCCGUGCGCUGUCGGUGGGGCUAGGGCGACGCCGAGCUGUGCUUCUUCAAGGCGGAGGCCGUUGACACGUGCGUCGGCGGGCAGAUCUGUGCGGGGGUCGGCGCACCGUGGCUUGGGUGACUCGGCUGGGCCGGUGCGCUGGCUGCGGCGAGGAUGUCCACUGGGUGGUGACUGCGGUGGAGCUCUGGCGGUGCGGUCGCAGCGCUGUUGCUGCCUGCUGGGGCUACAUUUUGGUCCCGCGGCGGUGGCGGGCUUUCCGACUGUGGGCGAGUGGCUACUGUGUUGA